RNAcentral lists this ribosomal RNA (253 nucleotides) under uncultured bacterium. Its description in RNAcentral is "partial 16S ribosomal RNA". It matches the Rfam family "Bacterial small subunit ribosomal RNA", at positions 524 to 776 of the family's 1533-position model. The record is from RNAcentral.
UACGUAGGUGGCAAGCGUUGUCCGGAAUUAUUGGGCGUAAAGGGCGCGUAGGCGGCUCAUGAAGGCUGUGGUGAAAGUCCGGGGCUCAACCUCGGAUCGGCCGUGGCGACUCGUGGGCUGGAGCACUGUAGAGGCGGGUGGAAUUCCGGGUGUAGCGGUGGAAUGCGUAGAGAUCCGGAAGAACACCAGUGGCGAAGGCGGCCCGCUGGGCAGUGGCUGACGCUGAGGCGCGACAGCGUGGGGAGCAAACAGG